GUGCACGUGUGAGGAGCCUCCCCUUCUGAUUAUCCACUUCCUCCUGUAACAGCCUUCUUCCUCCUCUCUAAUCUUCUAACCCUUUUCUGAUGCUCUCUCUCAAUCUCAUGCCCUCACCUGACCUAUCUACCUUUGUCUGAAAUCGCUGAUUUUUUUUCCUCUCCACUCCUCUCUUCUACACUUUACCAACCUUCUGUAUAAACAAACCAUCCCUAAACUGGACCCUCCACCUCAGCCCCUGAACCGCAAGCGUUCAAACAGGACUCUCUCUCCGGGUGUCGAAGCGGAAUCAAGAUCUUCAGCUGUAGCCACACCUGUAAAUGGGAACAUACUCACAAACGUGAGCAGUAGCUCCUCGUUUCCUGACAUCACGCUAUGCUCUGUUUCACCUGGUGAUUUCUAUUCUCAUGCCAACGGUAACAGUGUGUCAUGUUCAGCCAGCGAGGAUUCUGGCGUGCGCUCGGAUGACAAAUCCCUUAUAUCCCCCCAAUCCAGAGACGACCCCUCUGAUGACCAGAGCUCUGUGUUCAUCUCCACUUCCAGUACCUGCAGCAGCUUACCUGAGGAUCAUCCAGCUGUGGAUGGAGUAACUCCACCGCAUUCUACCACACCACUGGGAUAUGAGCAAACCAUCCCAUUCUCUUCGCCUGUCAAUGAUACCUGCCUUCAUAUAAGCCUAAGCGAAGAUGAGUUUCUAGAGGAGGGCACCUAUAAUGUCGCUACCCCAUGCAGGAGUUAGAAUCCCACGCAAAAUAUGUGAAAUUCAGAAUAAUAACAACUCUGCAGUGUUGAACAAACAUAAUGAAGAAAGGUGGCAUAUUUGACAACUGAUCUGUGUAAUAUUAGCCACAAGCUCACACUGAUAUUAUGCUGCAUAUUACUUUUUCGCUCCUUUUACCAGUUUUUUUCCACUCCUUGUUUCGAUCAAUGACUCUCCAAUUUUGUACCAUGCCCUCAAAUGAUUUUAUCUAUAAAAUUUGCUGAAAGAAUAUUUAGUAUGAUACAGAGUAGACUACUAUUGGCAGAUGGAUAGAGUGUAUUUUUUAGAUUGAAAUGAAUAGUUAUUUUUUAGCAAUGAAUGAAGUGCAUUGACUCCCACUAAGCUAAAUAGGAAUUGCUUCUGUUAGUGCUGCCGAUUUGUUUUUAUAUUAUAAGUUCAGUCUAUUUUUUUUUUUUAGCGCAAAUUGAUUUAUAUAUUGUUUGAAUGUUAUUUGGAUGCUAAAGAGCAGUUAUGUAGCAAAGAAACGCAGAAGUAUGUUAGCAAAAGAGACAUGACUGGUGAGAAAUAGAAGAGAAACAUAGAAAUAUGAAGAAAUUGAGGUAGAAAAAAACUUUCUUGCAUGAAUUCAAACUACACACAUUUUGUUUCAUAGAGUAAGCUGUGUGACUGAAUAGCUAAGUAUGGCAGCUUGAAUGGAUAGAUGACUGCAGACAAAUAAGGGACUUGAUUAUGUCUAGACAUCUUGAAUGGCUGAACCUCUCUGAUUUUAAUGCUUCACCAAUCAAGGUAAAAUGAGAAAAGAUCGUUAUCAUCUUUUCUAGGUGGAAAGGCUGCAAAGAAAAAAAAAACAGAGAGGAAAAGUAGAGGUGUUACAUUAGCAAUAAAUGCAAUAAUUUUUACA
Molecule: long non-coding RNA, 1622 nt
Organism: Cyprinus carpio (common carp)
Lineage: Eukaryota; Metazoa; Chordata; Actinopteri; Cypriniformes; Cyprinidae
Source: Ensembl